UACGGAGGGGGUUAGCGUUGUUCGGAAUUACUGGGCGUAAAGGGCGCGUAGGCGGCAAAUCAAGUUAGGCGUGAAAUCCCUGGGCUUAACCCAGGAACUGCGUCUAAUACUGGUUAGCUAGAGAUUGGUAGAGGAAAGUGGAAUUCCUGGUGUAGAGGUGAAAUUCGUAGAUAUUAGGAAGAACACCAGAGGCGAAGGCGACUUUCUGGGCCAAUACUGACGCUGAGGCGCGAAAGCGUGGGGAGCAAACAGG
Molecule: ribosomal RNA, 253 nt
Filed under: uncultured bacterium
Lineage: Bacteria
Description: partial 16S ribosomal RNA
Rfam family: Bacterial small subunit ribosomal RNA
Source: RNAcentral